CAAGGCCAUGAGCUGAACGUGUGUGUGGCCUGUUAGACUGCCGUUACUGUCUUGGUCUGUCUUUGUAAGGGGUAAACGAAAGCUCACGUCUGACAUGCAAAGGUGUGACCCGUGCGUGGUGUGUCUCAUCCUAGGUACGUUCUGGACGAUCAGUAUACAAGUUCCUCUGGCGCCAAGUUCCCUGUGAAGUGGUGUCCCCCAGAAGUGUUUAAUUACAGCCGCUUUAGCAGCAAGUCAGAUGUCUGGUCGUUUGGUGUGCUAAUGUGGGAAAUAUUCACAGAAGGCAGGAUGCCCUUUGAGAAGAACACCAAUUACGAAGUGGUAACCAUGGUUACUCGUGGCCACCGCCUCCACCGGCCAAAGCUGGCUUCCAAAUAUUUGUAUGAGGUGAUGCUGAGAUGCUGGCAAGAGAGACCAGAGGGAAGGCCUUCCUUUGAAGACUUGCUGCGUACGAUAGAUGAACUAGUUGAAUGUGAAGAAACUUUUGGAAGAUGAAUGGUGACCCCAGUUUCCAAGGCAAGAGGAAGAAAUGGUGUGCCAUCGGAACACAAUUCUCUUGGCACCUGGGAGUAUAGACUGCUCUGCUUACAACACGGGAGCCCCAGCGCAUCUGCUGCUGAUCCAGUCUGAGCUCAGUGGCUGCUUUGCCGGCUGCACAGAUGGUCUCUCAGAGCUGGUGACUUGAAGCACUCAUUUUGCUCAUUUCUUCAAGGGUUUGAGUGCCAGCCAUGCAUCAGGCUCUGUGCCCAGGCCUCAGGAGAUGAACAUGGGACUAUACUAGCUGGUGCUAGCAGAAAGCCAGGGUGGUUGUGAUGGGGACAAAUCAUAUCCCAGCGUCUCUUCCAUGCCCUUUGGAUUUUACAUAAACCUGGGCCUGGAGUGUUGUCUACCACUGAGUUCUAGGAAAAGUAGGAACCCACCUGGAUACGUAGUAAUCCUCUGUUUUGGAAACAUCUCUUUCCAAACCUGUUCUUAGUAGUAUGCUUAAAAAUUUGUAUAUUGUAU
Molecule: non-coding RNA, 1005 nt
Organism: Mus caroli (Ryukyu mouse)
Lineage: Eukaryota; Metazoa; Chordata; Mammalia; Rodentia; Muridae
Source: RefSeq, a predicted model, not a curated record